GGGUAAGCGGUCUUCCCUUUUCAACCUGAGCUGUUGAAACGCUCCCAGGAAGGAUGCUGAUAUCUUCAAUUUUCAUCUCUCGUGGGAGGUCAGGAUUGCCACAGGUAUUCCCAAGGCUCCUCGCAGCCAUCAGCCAGCUUCAGGUGUUUCAGAUCCUGUGAAGAACCAGCUCUGAAAGAUCUCUCCAGCGAUGAAUUCACAAAUAAUGAUUUAAAACUAUUAAUAGUAACAACACUAAGAUCAAUAGUUGUUCAGACCUAAAAGUCUAAUUUUUUCCCAGCUGAGGGAGAGGUUGGAAGGUACCCUGUGGUUUGACAGGCUGACACAAAAAACACACAUCACCCACCACAGAAAUGCAGCCAUCUCUGGGGCGAGAUAUUGCAGCUGUUUAGCAGCACUCAACAGCACUGCAGAACAGCUUUGGAAAUGAAGAAUUCUGAUGAAAACGGGGACUUUUAGAGUUCUGCUAAAAGUGUUGCUGCCACGAGAUUUCCAUCACACUCCCGCUGCUCGUGAGUUAAAAGGACAGCACUGGAAAUGUGAGCUGUCAAUCUGGGUGUAACAAUACAUUUAGCUCGAGCACAUCAUCCACGUUGAAAGAAAACACUUGUCAAAGUUACAAACAAGCAGCUCCUGGGUAAGUCAUCCUCCUCCACCACAGCUUCUGUGCUCGGGUGUGCCAAGAGUUCCUCCUCACCCACAGCUGCCAACCACAGUGUAUUUUUGCACUGCUCUUCUGUUUAUCGUCUCCAGCGCUUGUGGAUGUGCAAUCGCAUCCAAGCACGUGCCCCAGGACUGCUCUGUCUCCUUCUCCAGUUGUCAGGGAUGAUCAGGAGAUCCUGACUCUGGAUUUCUUCGAUUCACGUGCGGCAAACCUCGAGCUGAGCUUUGCGGCGUGGAGGAGCGCUGUGGAAUCAUCGCUCCUCAUCGCUUGCACAAAUUCCUCUUCACCUAUUUGGAAUUUUUCCAAUUCCUCUUCUAACCUUCUUGGUUUUAACAUCUUUCUGAGCAGACUCCAGACCACGUAAACUAAGUUUUUCUCUAGACUGUAAAAUCCCACUGUCACUGUGAAUAAGUAGGGAUGACACGGAACGUGGCAGGAAAGUAUCUUCUUUCAACAGUCUGGAGCAUUGAAAAUUGUCAGUGAAAUAUGUUCUUGGUUUGGAAAGUUUUAUGUUUUAGAUGAGUGGAGAGUGCUCCAUGGAAAAUGGUCAUGUAUGGAAGCUGGACUUUGCUUAUGGGAAGAACUCACAUGGCUUUUAUAACCUAUACAGCUAACCAAAUGCCUUAAAGCUUUUUCACCCAGAAGUAAUAAUUUGGUCAAAACUGAAAUUCUGUGGCAAAGAAUGAUGAUAGAUUUUCCAAUAUGCAAAAGGUUUGAGAAAUUAAAUUUUAAAAAAUAUAACAAAUCAUUUUAAUUUUUAUAAGCAAAAUUUCAAGUUUGGGAACAGAAAACUUUCUGGUUUUCAAUAUUUGGGAAGUACAUGAGGUGUUACAGGUCAUCUUUAAAAUUAUGGAAAAGAUAAUUGCUACAAGCCAUGGCUGGUCCAUAUGUGAUUUUUUUGAGGUAUAUUUGAGGUAACCAAUUGAUUUGGGGUAAAACCUUGUGUAGAAUUUGAGUUGAAAAUGAUCCUCUGAAGUUUGGAUGAUGAUGUUUUGCAGCUACUGUUGUUUCUCCACCUGGAACACCUGAACUUUGGAUUUUUCUGCCCUCAUUUGUAGAAUGCACCGUGUACGUGAUCUGCAACACACACGUGGUGAUUUGAGAGCAGAAAAUUUUAAUGUUUGAGUUACAGCACAAAGAUCUACCUGAGAAUGUGCACCUAUGGCUGCAGAGAAAGCUGUUUCAUGAUUUUACAAUUUUUGAGAUUAAACACUUCAAAGAACAAUCAGGAUCAAACCUUUUUCUUGCUUUGGACCUUUUCUUGGUGACAUUUAAGGAAAAUUUUUCAAAUUUUUUUAAAAUGGAAAAUAAUGGAAGUGGUUUCACCUUACCCUGCUUCAUGUAAUUGUUUCAGGGCAAGAUGCGCUACUAAAAACAUACCAUUUAAUAUUUUUGUUAAUUUUACUUAUUUACUGAUAAACACACUAAACCAUGAAAAGUAUAAGAAGGCAUUAUUAAGUUAUAUGGGGGGAAAUAGUUAGUAUUUUAUUCUGAGUCAGUUUUUAUUGAAUUUUUGGGAAUUCUUGGGCAGGGUUUGAGGGUUCACGUCCCAAAUCACUGCUUGUUGCUGCAACACCAAGGGAGCUUGGGGUAAAAACAUGAUGAGGGGAUCCAUGUUUGUGGCAAAACCUUUUUAAAAAGUUCCUAUUUUCUUUUCUGUAGUAGGGACCAGUCUUAGUAAUAAACUUUGCUUUUGGUGUUUUUGGUGUGUUCCCAGCUUAAAAUCUGCUCUGGGCUGGAGGGAUUUUGUAAAAAUAAGAGAUUUUACUGGUGGCUUCUGGAGAUUGUGUCCCUGCUUGGUUUUGUGAAGCAUCUGCCACAAUUCACUCCAGGAUGCCUAAACUAUAGUAAUAGAAUAAUAAAUACCCUCUUCAAUUAAGCCAAUGUAAUUUCCUUUUUUCUCCACCUCCUCUCUCUUCACCUGCUCUCAUUGCUUUAUAAUUAUCAAUUAAAGAUGUGUAAAAGGAGCAUUUUACCCUGCGACUAAAAAAGAGAUAGAACUGUAAAAAUUUUGUUUGUUUUCUAACAAUUAAAAAGAGACUUUUCUAAUGUUUGCUUCAUUAAAACUUAAAAAAUAAUAUUUUGGAGCUAUAAAAAUUAAGCCAUAAUUUCUGGGUAAAGAGAAGAAGUCAUUCCACUCAAAAUAAAUGUCAUCGUUUGUGACGGGAGAGUGUUUUGGAAAGCUUUUUCCACAUGUAUUUGAAUAAUAUUUUGAGUGAGUUGUCAUUUUAAAUUGAAAAAAAAAUAUUCUUCCCAUUUGAUAUAAAAUUGUUUGCACUUCUUCAUGCUGAAAAAAAA
Zonotrichia leucophrys gambelii is the source of this 2962-nucleotide long non-coding RNA. RefSeq lists it as uncharacterized. NCBI's taxonomy places the organism in Eukaryota, Metazoa, Chordata, Aves, Passeriformes, Passerellidae. The transcript is spliced from 5 exons. The record is from RefSeq and is a predicted model, not a curated record.